UACGUAGGGGGCAAGCGUUGUCCGGAUUUAUUGGGCGUAAAGCGCGUGUAGGCGGCCAGAUAGGUCUGCUGUGAAAACUCGAGGCUCAACCUCGAGCUGUCGGCGGAAACCAUCUGGCUAGAGUCCGGAAGAGGAGAGUGGAAUUCCCGGUGUAGCGGUGAAAUGCGCAGAUAUCGAGAGGAACACCAGUGGCGAAGGCGAGUCCCUGGACAGGUCCUGACGCUGAGGCACGAAAGCUAGGGGAGCAAACAGG
Molecule: ribosomal RNA, 253 nt
Filed under: uncultured bacterium
Lineage: Bacteria
Description: partial 16S ribosomal RNA
Rfam family: Bacterial small subunit ribosomal RNA
Source: RNAcentral